Long non-coding RNA from Capsicum annuum, 721 nucleotides. RefSeq lists it as uncharacterized. The transcript has 2 exons. NCBI's taxonomy places the organism in Eukaryota, Viridiplantae, Streptophyta, Magnoliopsida, Solanales, Solanaceae. The record is from RefSeq and is a predicted model, not a curated record.
AAUCGUCUCAAUUCCCUUUCCCUUUUUAAAAUUCAUACAAACCCUAAUCUCUCUAUUUCAACAAAAUGGCCACCUAUCCCUCUUCCCUUUCUUCUUUCUCUCUCUAAAGGACAGCCAACCACCACUGCCCAACACCCUUUCUCCGACGAGCCUCCACCGGCUAAAUUAGCCGCAGGUGAACCACCAACGGCACCCCUUUCUUUUUCCAUCUCUCUGUCUGGCGAACCCAUCGCCACCGCCAUCCACAGCGACGAACCGACCAGGACCGGUGAAACGACCAUCAGCCACUACCGUCGCCUUUCCCUCGUCGUCAUCGUCAUCCACCAUAGAUGCUGCCGUCAGGCAGUCCACCGAAAAAACCGAACCAAACGCCAGAUCUUCUCUUCGUCACAUGCAGCAGCCGUCGCUGCCCCCUCUCCGUCGUCAGACGCCACAAUAGCAACAACAAUGGCGACCAACCAAACGGGUCCCUCCAUCUACCAGCUCCUCCAGCCGCCGCCAAUGCUAUAGAUAAAUUAGAUGAUGUAACCUGAUUAUAGCUGGAUAUAUCAACAAAAUAUUGAUAAUAGAAUGGGUGAGGCUGAGAAUGAAGAUGCGGAUGGUGAGUUGUAGUUUUUAGUCUUUUGUAUGUUUUAUAGUUUGGAUUUGGAACCUCUAUAAAUUUUGUAAAUAAUUUGAUUUUUAAUGUUCCGUAUUUUUAUGGUGGUUGGUUGAUUGUAUA